UGCGAGUGAGGACAAAGCACACUCGAAAGUCUCGUGGUGAUUUGUGGGGGCAGUCAACAGUCCCUGUAAGUUGCCGGGACGUUACAAAUGGUAUCAGAGCCUAGCCUCUCCCAGUACGGUGUGGUUCGAGGAUGAACCAAGCGGAAGCUGGUGGGCAUGUGACGCCCGGGCACUGACGAGGGCGGGGAGUGAUCGCCGGUGCAAGAAGCAUGGUGCAGGGGGCACGGACAAGGAGCGGCUCCUGGCAGGCUUCGAGUGGAAGGGGCACAUGGACGAAUCGAACAUACACCGGAAUGAGAGGG
This 302-nucleotide long non-coding RNA is filed under the name Vigna radiata. RNAcentral's name for it is "long non-coding RNA (VRAD_LNC014298)". Lineage: Eukaryota; Viridiplantae; Streptophyta; Magnoliopsida; Fabales; Fabaceae. The record is from RNAcentral.